RNAcentral lists this ribosomal RNA (431 nucleotides) under uncultured bacterium. RNAcentral's name for it is "bacterial SSU rRNA". It matches the Rfam family "Bacterial small subunit ribosomal RNA", at positions 52 to 478 of the family's 1533-position model. The record is from RNAcentral.
CACAUGCAAGUCGAACGGCAGCACGGGAGCAAUCCUGGUGGCGAGUGGCGAACGGGUGAGUAAUACAUCGGAACGUGCCCAGUUGUGGGGGAUAGCCCGGCGAAAGCCGGAUUAAUACCGCAUACGACCUGAGGGUGAAAGCGGGGGAUCGCAAGACCUCGCGCAAUUGGAGCGGCCGAUGUCAGAUUAGCUAGUUGGCGGGGUAAGAGCCCACCAAGGCGACGAUCUGUAGCUGGUCUGAGAGGACGACCAGCCACACUGGGACUGAGACACGGCCCAGACUCCUACGGGAGGCAGCAGUGGGGAAUUUUGGACAAUGGGCGCAAGCCUGAUCCAGCCAUGCCGCGUGUGGGAAGAAGGCCUUCGGGUUGUAAACCACUUUUGUCAGGGAAGAAACGGCCUUUUCUAAUACAAAGGGCUAAUGACGGUAC